CCUUACAGUAUGUUCAUCCAUUUGUACUGUUAAAACUAGCAUGGUUGACAAAAUAACCAAACAGUUAUACGUGACAGAUCAUGUGUACAUCAUGUUAAUGUAUAAUGAUAUGUUUUCAAUAAUAAAAAUGGAUGAAAUUUUUAAUA
Molecule: microRNA precursor, 146 nt
Filed under: Gossypium arboreum
Lineage: Eukaryota; Viridiplantae; Streptophyta; Magnoliopsida; Malvales; Malvaceae
Description: MIR7502 microRNA precursor family
Rfam family: MIR7502 microRNA precursor family
Source: Rfam by way of RNAcentral